GACGAACGCUGGCGGCGUGCCUAAUACAUGCAAGUCGAGCGGACGGAUGGGAGCUUGCUCCCAGACCGUCAGCGGCGGACGGGUGAGUAACACGUGGGCAACCUGCCUGUAAGACUGGGAUAACUCCGGGAAACCGGGGCUAAUACCGGAUAACUCUUUCCCUCACAUGAGGGAAAGCUGAAAGAUGGCAUCUCGCUAUCACUUACAGAUGGGCCCGCGGCGCAUUAGCUAGUUGGGGAGGUAACGGCUCACCAAGGCGACGAUGCGUAGCCGACCUGAGAGGGUGAUCGGCCACACUGGGACUGAGACACGGCCCAGACUCCUACGGGAGGCAGCAGUAGGGAAUCUUCCGCAAUGGACGAAAGUCUGACGGAGCAACGCCGCGUGAGUGAUGAAGGUUUUCGGAUCGUAAAACUCUGUUGUCAGGGAAGAACAAGUACCGGAGUAACUGCCGGUACCUUGACGGUACCUGACCAGAAAGCCACGGCUAACUACGUG
RNAcentral lists this ribosomal RNA (498 nucleotides) under uncultured bacterium. RNAcentral describes it as "partial 16S ribosomal RNA". It matches the Rfam family "Bacterial small subunit ribosomal RNA", at positions 28 to 507 of the family's 1533-position model. The record is from RNAcentral.